GCUUUGGGCAGAGAUCCUCAAGAAGGUAGG
This 30-nucleotide non-coding RNA is filed under the name Cricetulus griseus (Chinese hamster). The record is from RNAcentral. Lineage: Eukaryota; Metazoa; Chordata; Mammalia; Rodentia; Cricetidae.